Molecule: ribosomal RNA, 499 nt
Filed under: uncultured organism
Description: bacterial SSU rRNA
Rfam family: Bacterial small subunit ribosomal RNA
Source: RNAcentral
AGCGAACGUUAGCGGCGCGCCUAACACAUGCAAGUCGCACGAGAAAGGGCUUCGGCCCCGGUAAAGUGGCGCACGGGUGAGUAACACGUGGGCAACCUGCCCAACCCUGGGGGAUAACCUGCCGAAAGGCGGGCUAAUACCGCGUACGAGGGCUCGACUUCGGUCGGGUUCUGAAAGCAGGCCUCUGUACACAAGCUUGCGGGGUUGGAUGGGCCCGCGGUCCAUCAGCUAGUUGGUGAGGUAAUGGCUCACCAAGGCUACGACGGAUAGCUGGUCUGAGAGGAUGAUCAGCCACACUGGAACUGAGACACGGUCCAGACUCCUACGGGAGGCAGCAGUGGGGAAUCUUGCGCAAUGGGCGGAAGCCUGACGCAGCGACGCCGCGUGGGUGACGAAGGCCUUCGGGUUGUAAAGCCCUGUGGGGCGAGACGAACAGCUUCCAGUCGAACAGGCUGGGGGUUUGACGGUAUCGCCUUAGCAAGCACCGGCUAACUCUGUG